AUCAUAUAUAGUAUGAUUCCAUUUAUAUGAAAUUCCAGAAUAGGUAAAUACAUAAGACAGAAAGUAGAUUAGUGGAUUCCUUGGGCUAGAGGAGAUGGUGAUGAAGAGGGGGGUAUAGGGAUUUUCUGGGAGGGUAGUGAAAAAAUUCUAAAGUCAAAUGUUAUGAUCGAUGCCCAACAACGUGAAUAUAUUAGCAGCCAUUGAAUUGGUAUACUUUAAAUGGGUGAAUUUGUGUAUUAGGUAAAUUAUUUAUCAAUAAAGCUGUUUAAAAAGUGUUGUACACACAGUAAGCAUACAAUACCUUCUUAUUCAUGAAUUAGUCAAGAAACCAAGUGGAUUGAACAAAUUAUACCUCUGCACUUUAGGUGUAUUUAGUGGUAGGUAAAGAAGAAAAGCAAAUAUAUCCAAUUGUUUCCAGUUUCCUUAAAGGGGGAAAAAAACAAAAUUUACUGACAAGCUAUUUGGGUGCUAAUAUUUUAUUUCUUUUUCUCCUAUGAAUUAAUCUCAAGUGGAUCUCUGCUAGCUUACUAAUGCUCACUGUCCACCACCUCAUGCAGUCAGAAAGAUGCCAUCUGUUCUCUUCAGCUGCCAAAGUGUCACAGGUUACCCACAGUAUAUCCCAAGAAUGUACACAUUCUGCACCAAUUAUGGAGGACAACAGUAUGUGAUUGAUGCUCUGAUUGGCUAGCUCUGGACCACAUGACCAACUCUGCUCUGGUGGUAGAGCUAAUUCCACUUAAACCACAUCAACAGAGAAUGGGGAACAAUGGCAAAAGCCUUUGAUGAAGCAUUUUCCUCUGAGACAACAGCGGCAAUACCUGAAGACCAUGAAGCAUCUGCUGAGUCCUUUUGUUCCAUCUUCUUUCUUCCUGAUCUUGAUCGCCCCCUGAUGCAUCUUCAUCCUGAAUAAAAAUGACCCCCAAAAAGCUGACAAAACAAGUCCAAUGAAAAAUGAAGUAUUUCUACAUCUCCUAAAAGCUCCUAAAUUACCUUGAGAUUGUGUAUUUUGAACUAAUAGAAAACUGUACUUAAUGCUGCUGAGCAAUCACUUAGCAUUUAGAGUACAAACUGAAGAGUCUGUUUUUCUUAAAUUACAAGGCAAAGUCCUCUAUGUGCAAGCAAACAUUUGGCUGAAAGUAUGCUUCUAUAUUGCGCUAUAAGGAUGCUAUCUACACACACUAUGUGGUCUGUGGACUGCUGCUGAUCAUGGAGGUUUUGGUUACUGGCCCCUCUUAAAGAACUUCAGGAUAUAAAUCAACUGUACCACUAAAUAUACUGUUUAUUUCAACUAAAUAUACAUACAUAAAUAUUGCAACAUGAUUUUCUAGAUGACUAAUGUUCUGGCAGACUCUUAAUCUCAUUGUGGAGCAGUACCAAAGAGCCUGCAGACUACCUAAGUUGAUUUAUAUGGUGUUUUAAAAUGAAUGGGCUAUACUCCUUAUUAUAUAUUUCACUUGAGCAACCUAGUUCUCAGCCACAUGCUGCCUAAAUGACUUUUUAAAGUCCAAGGUGGGUGCAAGGCAGCAGUUGUGAUGUUCCCAGGCUAUGGUGAAACUAUAUACCAGCCAUAACAGAAACCACAACUAUUUUAAUACUCAUUCACAACUAAGUCUGAGAUAAUGGCACAUCCUCACACAUAGGUAGAAGUGGCUCUGAAACUAAUUUUGGCUUUAAAAUAAGAUAUUCAUAUUAAAGAUAAGCACUAUUAUUAGAAUUAAGAACAGAUGCUACUGAAAAUUUAUCCAAUCCAUAACCUUUUUUGGUCUUGAAGAAAUUUAAACAGCUUCAAUGCUACCUAAAGGACACCUUAUUUUAAAUUUAAAGGUUUAAGUAACAUAUCCGAUAGAGUAUCAAACAGAAGAAUAAAUUCUAAGUCUUAAACAACAACCUCAAUGAUCCAGAAAUUAGGAAGAAAAAGAAGAAAAAAGACCUUCAACAGUGUAAACAUGCCCCAGGAAAAAGAAAUUGAUUCCUAAAACACCUCUUACUUUGUAAAAAGAAAAAGUCAUUUAAGCCUUCACUCAGUCUAAGUGUUUUAGCAAAGUUAUGCUUUACCCUGGUCCAAGUAAAAGAAAAACAAAAACAAAACCCAGACAAGUGGAAAACAUAUGGUUAUCUGAUUUCCAGGCCACCACAGAUACAGAAAAGGUUAUAUCAGAAGCAGACAAUAACAGCAGUAAGAAUCGUCCACUGACCACAAGAUAGUAAAAGCAGCUACACGCAAUUUAGAAGCCAAGCAAGAAAUCAGUGUAAGGACAAUUCCAUGUCCUUCAAAACCCCACAAGAGAGCCAAUGAGUUACAGCGAAGCAUAAAAUUUGAUGUUCCUAAUGAUGAUCAAUACCACGAAGAAUAUGGUAAAAUUUUGCUUAUAUUCUAACAUUUUUAAAUAACUCUGAUGCUCAGCAUCAAUUAAGUUAGCCCCAAUAUGAAAAAUAAAGCUGGUUGGAGGUUUUUGCUAAA
Molecule: long non-coding RNA, 2461 nt
Organism: Homo sapiens (human)
Lineage: Eukaryota; Metazoa; Chordata; Mammalia; Primates; Hominidae
Exons: 3
Source: RefSeq, a predicted model, not a curated record